Molecule: ribosomal RNA, 513 nt
Filed under: uncultured bacterium
Lineage: Bacteria
Description: partial 16S ribosomal RNA
Rfam family: Bacterial small subunit ribosomal RNA
Source: RNAcentral
GACGAACGCUGGCGGCAUGCCUAAUACAUGCAAGUCGAGCGAACAGAUGAAGUGCUUGCACUUCUGACGUUAGCGGCGAACGGGUGAGUAACACGUAAGGAAUCUACCUAUAAGCGGGGGAUAACAUUCGGAAACGGGUGCUAAUACCGCAUAAUAUCUUCUUCCGCAUGGAAGAAGAUUGAAAGACGGCUCUGCUGUCACUUAUAGAUGACCUUGCGGUGCAUUAGUUAGUUGGUGGGGUAACGGCCGACCAAGACGAUGAUGCAUAGCCGACCUGGGAGGGUGAUCGGCCACAUUGGGACUGGGACACGGCCCAAACUCCUACGGGAGGCAGCAGUAGGGAAUCUUCCGGAGUGGGCGAAGGCCUGACGGAGCAAUGCCGCGUGAGUGAAGAAGGCCUUCGGGUCGUAAAACUCUGUUAUAAGAGAAGAACAAAUUGUAGAGUAACUGCUACAGUCUUGACGGUAUCUUAUCAGAAAGCCACGGCUAACUACGUGCCAGCCGCCGCAGUAA